RNAcentral lists this ribosomal RNA (524 nucleotides) under uncultured bacterium. Its description in RNAcentral is "bacterial SSU rRNA". It matches the Rfam family "Bacterial small subunit ribosomal RNA", at positions 355 to 896 of the family's 1533-position model. The record is from RNAcentral.
UGGGGAAUAUUGGACAAUGGACCAAAAGUCUGAUCCAGCAAUUCUGUGUGCACGAUGACGUUUUUCGGAAUGUAAAGUGCUUUCAGUUGGGAAGAAAAAAAUGACGGUACCAACAGAAGAAGUGACGGCUAAAUACGUGCCAGCAGCCGCGGUAAUACGUAUGUCACAAGCGUUAUCCGGAUUUAUUGGGCGUAAAGCGCGUCUAGGUGGUUAUGUAAGUCUGAUGUGAAAAUGCAGGGCUCAACUCUGUAUUGCGUUGGAAACUGCAUGACUAGAGUACUGGAGAGGUAAGCGGAACUACAAGUGUAGAGGUGAAAUUCGUAGAUAUUUGUAGGAAUGCCGAUGGGGAAGCCAGCUUACUGGACAGAUACUGACGCUAAAGCGCGAAAGCGUGGGUAGCAAACAGGAUUAGAUACCCUGGUAGUCCACGCCGUAAACGAUGAUUACUAGGUGUUGGGGGUCGAACCUCAGCGCCCAAGCUAACGCGAUAAGUAAUCCGCCUGGGGAGUACGUACGCAAGUAUG